GCAGCAGAGGCUGGCAGCAGAGGCUGGCAGCAGAGGCUGGCAGGCCAGGCCGAUUGGCCACACGCGUGCACGGGUGGGCUGCCCAGCUGCGUUGCUAUAUGGCUGCUGGUCGGCUGGGUGCGUGUGUAGGCAGCUGCAGGCAGCUGCUGAUGACGCUCGUUUUGCUCGGCGGGCGGAAUGAAGAAUAGUGUAGGAAAACACGGCAACCAUGAUGAUCAACGCAUUGCGCUGCUGUUACAUACAUACAUACAUUCAUACAUACAUACAUCGAUACAGCACAUAUAUACAUGGCGUACAGUGGCUGGUGUAUGUAUAAACAUCCUGAUGGGUUGUUCGGGGUAUUAUUUUGCUACAUAUCUAUCUAUCCGCUGAGCGAGGCAGCAGCACCUUGUCUGCAGAAGUCAUGAACACCGACCGCAGCUGCACCCGCACCAGCACCCACCCACAUCCAUUAUCGAUGGCAGUCCAUUCGAUGCGGCAGCAGCAGCAGUUCCACCUCCGCGCUUGUUAUCACCUACCUACCUACCUACCUACCUACCUACCUACCUACCUACCUACCUAUCUCCAGCAGGUACGUAUGUAUGUAUGUAUGUUACCUGGCGAUCACCCAUCAAUCCAUUAUCUUCAUUCGGAUAUGGCAAACUUCUCAAAUUUCAGGAAUGAACAUGCAUAACAAUAAUGCAUAAUCGUCAAAUGUGGUUUCAUCGUGCUUUCGCACUCAGCAGGUUACUUGCCCACGCUGCAGAGAUAGGGCGGAGGUGUCGCGGACGGUGUAGUAUUCCCAGCUGGGAAGAUCACGGAAUCCGUUAUAUCACGACGAAAUACCGAUCGGCGGAUGCAGUCGUGAUAUAACAGAAGGCCAUGUCACGGGGUUAGUUACUGUGUGGAUGGAUUCUUUGCCAUGUCCAGCAGCUGUUGCUUGAGGGGACCGUCCCUAUCUAUUAUACGAGGGCGUGUUCUAUAGGUGAUAAAAAAUUUACGGAAGUAUGAUGACAGCUGUAGUACUAGCUCCAUGCUCCGCAAGGAUGCGUUUGGACGAUUUAUGCAUAUAUUAUAGCUUUAAAAAUAAACGCAUUUUAUUGAGCUUAUUAUUAUAUAUUGCUUCCUGUGUGUGUGCCUGCUGCGUGCUGUGCACGCGUGUGCAAGAGUAGUGUGCGUAUGCAUAAUGAUAAUAAAUAAAUAAAUAACGAUAAAAACAGAGUGGAGCCUGCAACCGAUGCAUAAGGCUUACUGUAUGUGAUGUGAUAGCAGCGGCGCUCGCAGCGAGGUCAUCAGCACUCUUCCAGCAGCAAAUCCCAUAUACAUUCAAGACUGGAUACAGGAUAUAUCGGAGGAUGUUACCUAUAUAUAGGUACAGCAGCACGUAGUCCCGAUGACUAUUUACAAGUGGGCCCUGCGACCGAUGGCGUCAAACGCCAUGAAAUCCUUGCACUAACGAGCAGAACGGGGUCCUUCAUAAAUAAUAUAUGUAUGCUGACGGCUGAUAUAUUACUAAGUCCCCGCCGUGAAUGAUGAUGAGGCGUGUGUGUGCGCGGUAGAGGAUCCGGCGGCUGUAGAAGCUGGUACACAAAGUCCAGCACAACACAUGUAAGAUCUUUUACAAAUACGCGCUAAGGCGCUCGGCACCCCAGCAACUUGUUGAGAGGCAACUUUCCAGCGGCCAGCUACUACAUCGGUAGUGGCUGGUGCGCUGCAGCAGGGCAUGUGGCGACAUAUUGUCACACCACACUGACGUCGGCCCAUACACAUAAUAUAUUAUAUUCUGUGCAUUCUGUGCAAGCCGUGAAUUCGUCAUGUUGCCUAAACUUCGUGUCGCCUAAUCUGCAUGUUGUCUAAAUCGCUGGAGAGAGCAGAAGCAUUAUGGGCACAAAAUCACGUGCUCAAACCCUGGCCGCGCGCACGUCAGCUAAUGAGAAUCCCAAUUUGCAAUGCUUAGGGUUAUAUGUAGAUUCCGCUCCCGGCUAAGUUAGUAUCCCUGCGCGUCAUGGUUGACUGGACAAUCCGAGUGUAGUAGCGAUAGUGCACCUAAGGGCACCCGAGAGAAUGUGAUUGCGAGGAGCGAGGUUAAUUGAAUAUUCACGUUCACGCCGGAGAAUAGUAUUGGGAGAUUGAAUGAUUUUGAUCUCUGUCUACUGACAGAGAUAGGGGCGGCAGGUGAGCAAGCCUGCGAGAACAUGUGUGUAUGUAUGUUUGUGUAUGUGUGUGUGCGUCUGUCUGUGCGUGUGUGUCUGUGUGUCUGUCUGUGAGUGUGUGUCUGUGCGUGUGUCUAUGUGUGUCCGUUACAUCUGCUGCUUGUACGAGCAAUUAGCGGUCCUGCCUUAACGAGAACAAUGAGCGGUUCCAAGGCCCGUGGAUAACCCCCCUGCCUGCACCCCCCGGGGGUAGCCCAUCGGUACCCCCUUUAAGUAAGGGUAAGGUCCUACCUAGCGGGAGGGGUAAUAUGACCUUAAGGCAAAAAAAGCUACAUACGAUGCCAGUUUGGUUUACGGAGUAAAUUUCGUUUGCGUCAUUCGAGCCGCACGUGCUGAAUAGCAUGCAUGCAUGCAUGCAUGCAUGCACAUACAUACAUACAUUCAUAUGGCAGGUGGCUGGCUGACUUGUUCUCCCGGAGGUUCCGGGUCAAAUUCGCCUGCCUGUGUGUGAGUGGUGUUGAAUUGGGAGGUGGACCCCCAACUUGUGGACGGUGUAGGACGUGAUUAUAGCAAUUUGCGAGCUGAGCAGGAACUAAGUUGUGGCGCCGUUGAUCGCGCUAGAUUUGGUUGGAUGCUGGUGGUGAGUUGCUGAACCCAACGAAUAAACUCUGAAGUCGGAUGGGUUGAAUGGAUUAGGGUGCCCCUCUCGCAAGGGAGAGCAGGGAACUGCCUCGGGAAAGGGGGCCGCUGGUGAAGCUAUACCACCCUGUAACAACAUCAUACAUUCA
This 2920-nucleotide long non-coding RNA is filed under the name Volvox carteri. RNAcentral describes it as "long non-coding RNA (VCAR_LNC001322)". The record is from RNAcentral. Lineage: Eukaryota; Viridiplantae; Chlorophyta; Chlorophyceae; Chlamydomonadales; Volvocaceae.